This 387-nucleotide ribosomal RNA is filed under the name uncultured bacterium. RNAcentral describes it as "bacterial SSU rRNA". It matches the Rfam family "Bacterial small subunit ribosomal RNA", at positions 28 to 417 of the family's 1533-position model. The record is from RNAcentral.
GACGAACGCUGGCGGCGUGCUUAACACAUGCAAGUCGAGCGGUAAGGCCCUUUCGGGGGUACACGAGCGGCGAACGGGUGAGUAACACGUGGGUGACCUGCCCUUAGCUCUGGGAUAAGCCUGGGAAAUUGGGUCUAAUACCGGAUAUGACUCCAUGACGCAUGUUGUGGGGUGGAAAGCCUUGUGCGGCUAGGGAUGGGCCCGCGGCCUAUCAGCUUGUUGGUGGGGUGAUGGCCUACCAAGGCGACGACGGGUAGCCGGCCUGAGAGGGCGACCGGCCACACUGGGACUGAGACACGGCCCAGACUCCUACGGGAGGCAGCAGUGGGGAAUCUUGCGCAAUGGGCGAAAGCCUGACGCAGCGACGCCGCGUGGGGAUGACGGCCU